This 407-nucleotide ribosomal RNA is filed under the name uncultured bacterium. RNAcentral's name for it is "partial 16S ribosomal RNA". It matches the Rfam family "Bacterial small subunit ribosomal RNA", at positions 30 to 526 of the family's 1533-position model. The record is from RNAcentral.
AUUGAACGCUGGCGGCAGGCCUAACACAUGCAAGUCGAGCGGAGCGGCGGACGGGUGCGUAAUGCCUAUGUAUCUGCCUGGUAGUGGGGGAUGACGUCCGGUAACGGGCGCUAAUACCGCAUCCUAUCAGAUGAGCCUAGGUGGGAUUAGCUAGAGGGUGGGGUAAAGGCCUACCAAGGCGACGAUCCGUAACUGGUCUGAGAGGAUGAUCAGUCACACUGGAACUGAGACACGGUCCAGACUCCUACGGGAGGCAGCAGUGGGGAAUAUUGGACAAUGGGCGAAAGCCUGAUCCAGCCAUGCCGCGUGUGUGAAGAAGGUCUUCGGAUUGUAAAGCACUUUAAGUUGGGAGGCGUUACCAGCAGAAUAAGCACCGGCUAACUUCGUGCCAGCAGCCGCGGUAAUAC